CCUACGGGAGGCAGCAGUGAGGAAUAUUGGUCAAUGGACGAGAGUCUGAACCAGCCAAAUCGCGUGAAGGAAGACUGCCCUACGGGUUGUAAACUUCUUUUGUACAGGAAUAAAAGACAUUACGUGUAAUGUAUUGCAUGUACUGUACGAAUAAGCAUCGGCUAACUCCGUGCCAGCAGCCGCGGUAAU
RNAcentral lists this ribosomal RNA (189 nucleotides) under uncultured bacterium. RNAcentral's name for it is "partial 16S ribosomal RNA". It matches the Rfam family "Bacterial small subunit ribosomal RNA", at positions 338 to 524 of the family's 1533-position model. The record is from RNAcentral.